CAACAGCUAAGCAAUACUUCAAGUGAUGCAGGAACUUCAGCAUGGACCCAGAACCCAGCAAUCACUUACGUGCAUGGGAACAAUUUCAGUAGGGUUGACACUGGAAGCAUGGGUCCACAACGUUAUCAUGACCUAUCUGGCAACAGAAGUAACACAAGUUUCUUGCAUCCCUCUCCUGCCAACCUACGGCAGCACAAUUUUCAUCACCUGUCACUUCCCAUUCAAGGAAUGAGAGGCCACAAUCUUAAU
Molecule: unclassified non-coding RNA, 249 nt
Filed under: Hevea brasiliensis (rubber tree)
Lineage: Eukaryota; Viridiplantae; Streptophyta; Magnoliopsida; Malpighiales; Euphorbiaceae
Source: RNAcentral